CGCAGAAUGGUUAAGCAAAGGCAGGUUUCAUUCCAUGAAAUUGACAAUCAGGCUCAUAACCUGAAGGUCGUAGGUUCAAAUCCUACUCCCGCAACCA
Molecule: transfer RNA, 97 nt
Filed under: Loktanella salsilacus
Lineage: Bacteria; Pseudomonadati; Pseudomonadota; Alphaproteobacteria; Rhodobacterales; Roseobacteraceae
Description: tRNA-Leu
Rfam family: tRNA (bases 21-93)
About the family: Transfer RNA (tRNA) molecules are approximately 80 nucleotides in length. Their secondary structure includes four short double-helical elements and three loops (D, anti-codon, and T loops).
Source: RNAcentral